GCUUGCGGCCGCACGUGGAGCGCCUGCUGGCCCCGCCCCGGACCCAACCAAGCGUCCCGCGGAGGGGUGCCGCCGACUCGGGGGUGGGAGAGAGCGGAGGGCACCACACCUCCCGGGUCCUGAGAAAGGAGGAGAAUGGCAGAAGGGCGCUGUGUGUGGACCACUGCGAUCUAGGCCUUUCCCCACGCGACGGAGGCGGGAGGGGACGCGGUCAGCUUCCCCCUUCUGGCCGAAUGGCCCUCUCCGACGCUCGGCCCCCGCUCCCCUGGAACACUCCCUCCCAAGCCCUGUCGGGCUGGGCGGGGGUGGCUGUUUGGCCUGGGCAUCGUCUUACUAAUUCGGAACGACGGAGUGGAGGCCACUCAAAGAGGAGGCGAUCCCGGCGGAGGAGGCUUCGUGACUCCUAGCUUCUCCCCCUUACUCCUGUCCCGCACCCACCGGCCCACCCACCACUCGGGACGCCGCGCCCUCGUGGGUUUUUAUACUGGAUGGAGGGGGCGCCGCCAGGAAGCCAAGCCUCCCCCGCUAACUCUUGUUUCUGCAAUUGUAAAGCUUUCCCUCCACCUUUACUCACCCUACAGACUUUUGAAAUAUUAAGAAGAAUGUUAGAGGGAUUUUACUAGAGCAGUUGAUCGAUCAUUGAAUUCCUUGCCAGCAAAACAUUUUGAUGAGAUACACUUGGGAACAGAGUGGUUUGAGUCAAGCAAGGGAGAAAUUGGUGGCCUUGCUUCCAUUUGCUCAUGUUGCACGUCCAUGUCAAGCUUUCCUUGUGUCAUCCGGAGCUGCUCUCAUCUGAACACCGGAAACCUCUCUGUCCACCAGAGCCUGCCCUUCGACCUCUCCCACCAGAGAUGUUUUUUGACUUUCAGUCACCAAAACCUACCCAGUUCUUCCAGUUUAUUAGCCAUUUUUGGCCUCACUUCUUUCCUUUUGAAUUAAAUGCCUAGACUCACCAUUCUGAAUUUAUUCUCCCCUGUAGUCUAUACUUCAUCUCUCCUUGACCUUCUAAUACAGCUUUGCUAACAACCCUAAUAGUCAGGAGAACUCAGUCACCCAUUCCUUGCAUUUUGUUUUAAAGUCACCAAGGAAGACCAAAGAAAAUCUAAUGACUGUGUUGAUUAGUGACAUCACUAAAACAACAUUUGAGCAGUGGAGCACUUAUAGAUGCUUGGUCAAUUUUUUAUUCAUUCCCAGUUGGCUCCUUUUCCCUUUCACCACAGUGUUCCGAUUUUUUUUUUUAAAGGAUUUGUUUAUUUAUUUGGGAAGACGGAGAGGGAGAGAGAGUCUUAAGUAAACUCCAUGCUGACUGAACGCAGAACCGCAUGCAGGGCUCUAUCCCAUGACCCUGAGAUCAUGACCUGAAUCGAAACCAAGAGUCGGACACUUCACCAACUGCACCACAGUGAUCAGAUUUUUAUGGCUUUCUUCAAGUCUGUCAUCCCAGUCUAUAACCCUGCCACACUCAAGGCUCAACCUAGCCCAUCUGGUGGGUCUGGCCACUGGUCUGAAAGGCUUAUAAGUAUUACCUCAUUGAAUCCUCACAACAAUCCUUUGAGGGAGGCACACUCAUUUUCCCUGGUUUAUGGAUGCCUAAGAUCUUAAGGAAAGUAACUGUUGGAUCUGAACUCAGGACAUCUGUCUCAAAACUCAUACACACUCUUCCUAAACUGCCUCGCUUCUGCUGCAGAGCUGACUCUAGGCUUUUCUCCUUAGGGAUUUAGUUCCCUCCACCUCCAAAAUUCUGUGUGUCUUCCUCUGACUCCAUUCCCUCCUGACCCCUCUCAGUCAAUCCCCUACCAAAGCCCCAUAUCCCAAGCCCUCCUAGCUGUUCAGGGUCUUCUCCAACAUUUGUUUAUUCAUUUAGCAAAUACAUAUUAAGUGCCUGUUGUAUACCAGGUGUUGGGGACAGAAGUAAACAAGACCUAAUCUUCCAACCUGGGAGAUUAGCUAAUUAUGCACUCUCCCUCUUAAGUAUUCAACAUCUGGUAAGCUCCUAGACCAUUCUUUGCAUUGAAAGAAAAUCACUGGACAUUUCACACUACAUCUAGCAUUGACCCUGACAGGUGCAUUGCUGACAGGGAUGAAUGAUUUCAGGUAAAGUAUAUUAGUUUGGAGGUUUGUCCUUAGUCCUCUUUCUGAAAAGUAGCCCAUUUUAGGUGGGCCUCCAGCUCAUACCUUUUUGUCCGCAGUUCUGAGAAGGUUUGGAAAACUAACCCUUUGCCAUUACUGACUGACUAAUUGCACUUUAGGUGAAAUAUAGUCCCACCAAAGGGACCUCAAACUGGUUCUUGUGGCUUAAGCCUUGUAAUCUAUGACUGAAAAGAAAGAUACAAUCUUAUUAAAAGAAUUUCAGCAUUUGCAAGGGGGAGAUAGAUAUUUGUGAGACAAGCCACUUUUUAAACUUGUAUUUUGCCACUUUUAACCUAGUGGUUCUCAACUGGAGGGUGAUUUUGUCCCCGAAGAACAUUUGGCAGUGUCUGGAGAUGUGCUUGGUUGUCGGAACUCGGGGUUGGGAGGAGUGUCUAGUGGACAGAGGUUACAGAUGCUACUAAGCAUCCAAUAAUGCAGGGCACCUUACAACAGAAUUACUGCCCCUGGUUGAGAACCAUGGAUCUAACAGGUGAACUCGACUGGAGCAUUUAGCUACCCUGUAAGUUGGGUUUGAGGGACAGGUGCCUUUGGGGGUGCUGGCUGAGCCUGCUGAAGAUCUGUUGAAGAGUUACUAGAGGGGAAGAAUCAUUUGGGACCUAUAGAGUAAGGUAUUUGGGCCGAGUAUCUCUAUCUCCUCUCCCUAACUCUACCUGGAUCUUGGUCUUAGCCCCAAGACACCUGAUACACAUUUUAUUUCUUCUUGUAUCACCUAUUUAGUGUGUGAUGACUUCGAGGGGGGAAAGUAAAUUGGAUAAUCCCUGUGUCUGACAAAGCAAUUUUUUUUUUUUUAACGUAAGUAUAAUUUCUACCUCUGGCUAUAAAAUUUCUAAUGUGGCCAGAACACUAUUCUGUUUGUCAACAGAGGCAUAGUAAGAUUGAUCUCAAUGCAAAUUAAAUGAUAGGUCAAAGAAGAAAAAAGCUGGAAACAUUCUUUUCAUUUCUAUCAGUGAAGAAUCAACUUUUGAACUAAAAUUAGUGUUAAAGACCUUUUAAUAAAAUUUAUAAUUUAACAGACCUGACCA
Neogale vison (American mink) is the source of this 3173-nucleotide long non-coding RNA. The record is from Ensembl. Lineage: Eukaryota; Metazoa; Chordata; Mammalia; Carnivora; Mustelidae.